UGGGGAAUAUUGCACAAUGGGCGAAAGCCUGAUGCAGCAACGCCGCGUGAGUGAUGAAGGUCUUCGGAUUGUAAAGCUCUGUCUUUUGGGACGAUAAUGACGGUACCAAAGGAGGAAGCCACGGCUAACUACGUGCCAGCAGCCGCGGUAAUACGUAGGUGGCGAGCGUUGUCCGGAUUUACUGGGCGUAAAGGGUGCGUAGGCGGAUGUUUAAGUGAGAUGUGAAAUACCCGGGCUUAACUUGGGUGCUGCAUUUCAAACUGGAUAUCUAGAGUGCAGGAGAGGAGAAUGGAAUUCCUAGUGUAGCGGUGAAAUGCGUAGAGAUUAGGAAGAACACCAGUGGCGAAGGCGAUUCUCUGGACUGUAACUGACGCUGAGGCACGAAAGCGUGGGUAGCAAACAGGAUUAGAUACCCUGGUAGUCCACGCCGUAAACGAUGAGUACUAGGUGUAGGAGGUAUCGACCCCUUCUGUGCCGCAGUAAACACAUUAAGUACUCCGCCUGGGAAGUACGAUCGCAAGAUUAAAAAC
RNAcentral lists this ribosomal RNA (530 nucleotides) under uncultured bacterium. Its description in RNAcentral is "partial 16S ribosomal RNA". It matches the Rfam family "Bacterial small subunit ribosomal RNA", at positions 355 to 900 of the family's 1533-position model. The record is from RNAcentral.